This 253-nucleotide ribosomal RNA is filed under the name uncultured bacterium. RNAcentral's name for it is "partial 16S ribosomal RNA". It matches the Rfam family "Bacterial small subunit ribosomal RNA", at positions 524 to 776 of the family's 1533-position model. The record is from RNAcentral.
UACGUAGGGGGCAAGCGUUAUCCGGAUUUACUGGGUGUAAAGGGAGCGUAGGCGGCGAUGCAAGUCAGAAGUGAAAGCCCGGGGCUCAACUCCGGGACUGCUUUUGAAACUGUAUGGCUAGAUUGCGGGAGAGGCAAGUGGAAUUCCUAGUGUAGCGGUGAAAUGCGUAGAUAUUAGGAGGAACACCAGUGGCGAAGGCGGCUUGCUGGACUGUAAAUGACGCUGAGGCUCGAAAGCGUGGGGAGCAAACAGG